CCCGGGGCAGGCACGCCUGUGGGGCCGAGAUGACCUGGAGCGGGGAUGGCCAGAGAGCUGUGCUUGGAGCCCAGCUGCGGAAUAACACUUGGAAACAUAAAACCCAAGGUGGAAAGUGAGAAAGAAACAGAGAAAAACAAAUCCCCGACUCACCCACCGCCGCCUGAAUGAAGGAGGAGUCGACAGAGGACACCGCUGUAGGAUUCUCAUACAUCGACUGGCUCCCUUCCUUGGGUUUAUUCCAUGUAUUAGCGGAAUACCAAUAACAUUGGAAGAAGCAAGAAAGAUGGACAUGAAUUUCACUUUCAAGAGGUUGCCCAAGAACAAGCAGUUGGUUGAUGAGAUGGCUCCAUAGAGCCUCCAAAUGAGAUGGGCUGGAAAAGGAGACAAACACCGCGGGCCUGAUGACUUAAACAUCGAUGCGCCCUGAGCAAACAGGAGGGAAAGAGCGGCCGACACCUGCUUGGUAAUCAGCUUUGUCAUUCAUGCAGAUAUUGUGAGGACAAUUCCUUGCCGAAGCCUGGAAAAUCUUAGCUUUGUUCGGUGCAAGGCAACAGACAGGCCCUGUUUCCAGGCACAGCUCUUGUUUCAGCAAUCAAGAGCAGCCACGGGUAACUCUGGACCUACCUACCUGUGGAUCUCCUUGACCUUCGCCAACACUUCUGCCUCCUCCCCUGCCUCUUCUUCCCCCGGUGUUGGGACUCCUGUCAAAUCCUGUAUUUAAAACGAGAAUCCUGGAAAAGUUGGUCAUUGCCAGCACGUAAUGACAGGUUGGCUAAUUGAUAGUGUGCCUUCAAAAACGGGAGUAGGACAAACAAGGCAGCUAAUUUUGAUAAUGAACAGAUUCGAGGCAAACAGGCGACAGCAUCCUUUGCAUAUGGUUCCACACCAGCCGUGUGUUUGUUUGGAUUCUAUGUUAAUUUUAGAAACUGUAAAACACCACAUGCCAAAUUGGUUGAUUGAAAUAAUGCUACUUCCCAGAGGCUGACAAUCUGUUGUUUCUUGCAGGAGGCAAGAGGUUACCCGAUGAGUGUUGACUUAGUUGCAGGCAAGAGUCUCAUGGAGAAUAGAGACAGUUGUCCAGGUAAUUCACUGCCUCAGUGAACUGGAUGCUUGAAGUAUUUUGAUGCUGCUUUAUGUCUGUCUGUGUAUCCCUCGAUCCAUGCAUUUGUGCUUCUAUUUGUUGUGUAAUUGGUUCGAUUCCCUUUGCCAGUAUAGAUCUUGACUCUAUUUUGAUCUGGAACAUUGCCUUUUUUUUUUUUUUUUAAUGUUUAUUUAUUUUUGAGAGAGAGAGACAGAGACAGAGCUCAAACAGCGAAGGGGCAGAGAUCGAGGGAGACACAGAAACCAAAGCAGGCUCCAGGAUCUGAGCUGUCAGCACAGAGCCCGAUGCGGGACUCGAACCCAUGAACCGUGAGAUCAUGACCUGAGCUGAAGUCGGACGCUUAACCAACUGAGCGACCCAGGAACCCCUGGAACAUUGCCUUUUUAGUCAAAGUUAUACAGAGUAUUUUUCCUAAUGGCAUGUCAAGGAAGUUGGUCAUCUUAAAUAAUCUAUAAAUAUUUAUUCCUGAAAGGGAAUUGAUUUUUUGGACUUUUAAAACCCAACAACAUAUAAGUUGCUGUGUUUUAAAAUGAAUGUACGUAAGGGAGAAAGAAAGGAAGAGAGGUGGUUUGGUUUGUGAUUUUAAAUUUAGACAAACUGAAGAAACAUACUCUUUCUUUAAAUAAAUAAAUACUGUCUGCUAAAUUACAUUGUUGAAUUUUAAAUCCUGUGAUAAAGUGGUACUUACCAGGGCUAUAAACAAUAAAGAUAAACAUUUCUGCUCUUGUGGGACUUCUAUUUAAAAGUAGGAAAGAUAAUUUUAACAGAGCAUCCUAUAAUGACGAGCAUGGUAGCCAGCUGAUUAUAAAAUUAUAAAUGUUAAUUUUUGAAUCACGUUUUGCAGACGUGGACGCCGGGCACGGUUAUAUAUGUCAGUUUCUGUCGUCAGUCUCACCCAAAGAAACCAUUCGCUAGUGAAAGACUCAACACUGAGCAUUAUUUAAUGGGAAUAAAACAAGACCAUUCAGGGCAGGUUUUGCUUGAGAGAAGUCCCCUCAGAAUAUCAGGGAGAUACUUCAGAUAAACAUUCAGAAUUACCUCCUGGCUAAGCAAGCAAGCGGGGAAAAAAGAAAAAAGAAAAAAGGAAAGAACAAGAAAAAAGAAAAAAAAAUCUCACCCAAGACCCCCGUGGCAAGUGGAAAGGAUUUGGAAGAGCUCGUAAUUUGGACUUUCAGCUGUUUUUCUGGGUUGUUAGUAUUUGGUUUUAUCCAAGAGCAAUUCUGGAUUUUAAGGCAUCCUUCCUUGUUGCAAAGAUAAAUAAACAGAAAUUCAGACUUUCAGGGAGAAUUGGACUUUUAUUUCCUUCUUCCUCAUUAGAACGUAUUUAGACCCCUAUCCCCACCUCUUUUUCAAGCCUUUCUGUUUCAUGUUAACUCUUUAAGGAAAAGAAAGAGGCACAAAACAAGCAGCAAGAGAACCUUGGGUGGGGGUUCCUGUGAAUGUUUUUAGAAAUAAAACACAACUCUUCCUUUUUGCCUUAACGAGCAUUUAGGAGGCCCUGCGAUCAGGCCAUCGGUAAU
Long non-coding RNA from Acinonyx jubatus (cheetah), 2625 nucleotides. RefSeq lists it as uncharacterized. The transcript is spliced from 3 exons. NCBI's taxonomy places the organism in Eukaryota, Metazoa, Chordata, Mammalia, Carnivora, Felidae. The record is from RefSeq and is a predicted model, not a curated record.